UCAGUAUAAGAAAACCUCUACCUGCAAAUUAAUGCUCUGUUAACAGCUCUAUAUAUACAUACACACAAAACAUGUAAAGUGUUGAAAUAAAAGAACCCAGAAAUGUUCCAUAUGCAGAAAAAGCUUACUUCUGUCAAAUGUUGUGCACAAAUGUGUUUACAUCCCUGUUAGUGAGCAUUUCUCCUUUGCCAAGAUAAUCCAUCCAGCUGACAGGUGUGGCAUAUCAAGAAGCUGAUUAAACAGCAUUACCAAUUACAUAGGUGCACCUUGUGCUGGGGACACUCUAAAAUGUGCAGUUUUGUAACACAACUCUAUGCCACAGAUUGAGGGAACAGGCAAUUGGCAUGCUGACUGCAGGAAUGUCCACCAGAGCUGUUAACAGAGCAUUAAUUUGUCUACCAUAAGCCAAAAAAAAUGAGAAUUUGGCAAAACAUCCAACCGGUAUCGCAACCGCAGACCACGUGUAAACCAUGUCAGCCCAGGACCACAUCCGGCUUCUUCACCUGUGGGAUCGUCUGAGACCAGCCACCCAGAAAGCUGAUGAUACUGAGGAGUAUUCCUGUCUGUAAUAAAGCCUUUUUUUUGUAGAUAAAAACUCAUUCUGAUUGGCUGGGCCUGGCUCUGAAGUGGGUGGGCCUAUGCCCUCCCAGGCCCACCAAUGGCUGUGCCCCUGCCUAUCAUGUGAAAUCCAUAAAUUAGGGCCUACUGAAUUCAUUUCAUUUGACUUGACUUCCUUAUAUCAACUGUGUAACUCCAUAAGAUCACUGUCCAUUCAUUUUAGAUCAGUGAACACUGCUUAGGUAGGCAUUAGGGGAACUAGACUUGGGGUCGAAAUGGAAUUGGGUCACUAUUAUAUGUCACAUGAGGGAGUGCAUGGUUUUCUCUGCACAAGUAUUCCCUGUCUUUAUUUUACAGAAUCUCAGCACCAAAUUGCAUGUAUCGUCUUCCUCUUCACUGUGUGUUUAUGGAUAGGGGAAAACAUGUGGGCUCUAAAUAAGGUUUACAUAAUACAUCCAUAAGCACUCUGUAAUACCUCUAGAAAACCUUUCAUAGACUUUUAUGUCCACAACAACACUGUGUCUGCUGACUGGCUUGGAUUUGUGCCAGCCAACUUGCUUACUUAAAUAAUUCUUCAGAGCUGGCAAAACUGGUUACAAUUACAUUUCACCCAAUUUUGCCCUGUUGGUUUUGUCAUAAGGCAUUUACAAAAAGUUUGAUCACACUUAAUCAUUACGCCCACAUUUGUAAAUGUCAGUAACCUAGUUAUUCACACAUUUAUAAACUUUUAUAUUUUAACUGAUGUAUUAAUGAUUCAUAAGAUAAUAAGAUGUUUAAUAUACGUCCUUUAUAAACCAUUUAGUAAUCAUUAGUUUGUCCCUAAUCUAAAGUGAGGGUUUAGCGUUAGUGUUACCAGCACUCAUAAUGCCUUUUAUGAGGCCUACCUCCAGAGUUGGUCAGGAAUAUCGGAUAGUCUACACCUGAAAACAUGUUGGGCACAAUUGGAACGUGGACAAGAUUAGGACAAAGGACGCCUAUUAGUAUCAGGUGUAAACGGGGAUUCUGAUUUCUCUGUCCCAGCUGUCCAGCGUGUGUUUUUAUACUUUCCAAGGGCAGCGCUUUUUACAAACUGGUUUAUUUUAUUAUGCAAUGUAAGAAGGGCAAAGUAAUAAACCAUAUUUUAUGAGCCCUU
Oncorhynchus tshawytscha (Chinook salmon) is the source of this 1690-nucleotide long non-coding RNA. The record is from Ensembl. NCBI's taxonomy places the organism in Eukaryota, Metazoa, Chordata, Actinopteri, Salmoniformes, Salmonidae.